Molecule: ribosomal RNA, 497 nt
Filed under: uncultured bacterium
Lineage: Bacteria
Description: partial 16S ribosomal RNA
Rfam family: Bacterial small subunit ribosomal RNA
Source: RNAcentral
GAUGAACGCUGGCGGCGUGCCUAACACAUGCAAGUCGAACGAAGAAGCGCGUUGCUUUCUGCUCGGAGGGGAGGGGCGGCGGACGGGUGAGUAAGAGGUGAACAACCUGCUACCACCUGCAGGACAACCGCAAGACAGAGUGACUACUACGGGAUAUACUGGACCGGUCGCAUCAAGAGUCUGGGAAGGAUUUUGUGUCGGUUGUGGAUGGACCCGCGGCGUAUUAGCUAGUUGGUGGGGUGACGGCCUACCAAGGCGGCGAUGCGUAGCCGGCCUGAGAGGGUGAUCGGCCACACUGGUACUGAGACGCCGCCCAGACUCCUACUGGAGGCAGCAGUAGGGGAUCUUACGCAAUGGGCGGCGGCAUGCCGGAGCAGCGCCGCCUGAGUAAGGAAGGUCUUCGUCUCGUUGAAAUCUGCUAUCGGGAGAGAAGAAAUGUGUACGUAACUAUGCGCGUCUUGACGGUAGCUGAAUAAAAAGCCCCGGCUAACUACGUG